UCCAUCAUGGUGUAGUGGCUAACAUUAUCGCCUCUCAUUUGUUGACAUCGCGAUAGCCCAGGGUUCGAUUCCCUGUGAUGGAA
Paramarasmius palmivorus is the source of this 83-nucleotide non-coding RNA. Lineage: Eukaryota; Fungi; Basidiomycota; Agaricomycetes; Agaricales; Marasmiaceae. The record is from the annotation of a GenBank genome assembly.